Non-coding RNA from Gnomoniopsis smithogilvyi, 133 nucleotides. The record is from the annotation of a GenBank genome assembly. NCBI's taxonomy places the organism in Eukaryota, Fungi, Ascomycota, Sordariomycetes, Diaporthales, Gnomoniaceae.
AGCUGCAUAGCUCAGGGGAAGAGUGAGUGAACUUGAACACCUUGAGAAAUUCAAUAAAUUCUAAUAAAAACAUAGGCGCCGGGCUCAUAAAAUUGCAACCCGGAGGUCCAAGGAUCGAAACCUUGUGCAGCUA